Molecule: long non-coding RNA, 3082 nt
Filed under: Solanum lycopersicum (tomato)
Lineage: Eukaryota; Viridiplantae; Streptophyta; Magnoliopsida; Solanales; Solanaceae
Description: long non-coding RNA (SLYC_LNC000761)
Source: RNAcentral
CUAGAACAUUACUUCAUAUAUAUAUAUAUAUAUGUAUGUAUAUAAAUAUAAUAAAUAUUAUUAUACAUAGUUAAAGUCUAAGUCUCUUUGCCAACUUAGACUCAACAACAAUAGAGCAGAAUAGGGACAUGGCCUUAAAAACAUAAAAUAAUAUAUAAGCUAUUACAUUAACUUAAAGAAACAUCUUUACAUAGCAAACCCUUGAAUCAUAAGAGUCCCUUUAACUGAACUUGGGAGAUCUAUCCAAGCUCUUCACUUAGGAGACAUCCUCUAGCCAUUACAACCUACACUUUGUGUAAAGGAUGAUAAAGAAUGGUAUUAGUACAAGAAUGCAAUAAGUAAGACAACCAUGAAAAAACAUUCAUUUAUAGAGGACAUUUAAUUUAAAAUCAUGAAACAUUUAUUUUUAUUAAACAUCAUGAACAUAGGCACAUAUAUUCUCAACAUAGUUCAUAUACACUAUAUAUACACGAAUACUACUCAUAAUAACACAUAAAGUGAUUUAUCAUACUUUAAGGCAUAUUGGAUACAUACAAUACAUUAAUUAUAUUUUUAUCUUACUUUAUUAAGUAACCCUCAAGUGUAUUUUAUACAAUGUAUCACCUUGAGGUCACCUUACAAUAGCCUUUCAUAUAUAUGCUUCAUAAACACAAACUACAUAUAUUCACAAGUCAUAGGCACAUCAUAGACAUCACUUCACAUAAAGAUCAUUUCCUAAGACAAAUCCUAAGUCACACUAGUGCAGUGUGUAGGUAGAAUCCCAUAAUACUUCUUCAACCAAGUGUACCUAAGAAGUCACCCUAGACUUGGCAUAACAUACUUAACAAGUCAACACUUUCAUUUAUUACUAGACAUAAGGCAACAUACUUCAUAUCAUCAAUUAAGGACUCUUUCUUUUAGUACAACCUAGUCAUAACUCAUUUAAUUCAUACCAUAAGUAAGACACCCCUCACAACCCCUUCACAAUAUUACUUGUGCAAUGUACACAUAGAGUCUCAUACCUCCACAUAUACUAAGUAAACUCACUUAGAAGCCAUAAGUGCAUUUCACAUGCAUACUCAUAAUUCAUAUCUUGACAUAGAAAAGUCACUUAGCAUGCAUUUAUACAAUUUAUACAUAACAUAAGUCUUUACUUCAUAAGAGGCUUCAAUACUAUCCUUUCUUGAAGUCAUCUAGUGCAAUGCAUAAGUAGGGUCGAAGUCUUCCCUGUCCUACCUAUACUAAGUACACUUCUCAAGGAAUUUUAUUAUGAUUCAUAUUUUUAUCUUAGUUAAUAUAUUAAUCUUCGAGAGAGAUAUCCAUAAUCGACAUUGACCGUGUGAGCUAAAUGGAAUCUGGUGUUCUACUCCCACACCGAAAAGAGAGGGUUAACACUUGGCUAAGGUGCAACAAAUCGUACAUAGCUAUAUAAGUGGUAUCCACAAGCUAUAACCUACGGGGCACGUAGUUUUGGAACAUGGACAUUGCUUCUAGAAACCUUGACUGACUAGCAUGGAGGUUUCUAUCUUAUAAGACAACAUCUAUGUUGGGUAUUCAGACUUUCUAAACGUGAAGGUUCUCUUGUAGGAAGCCGGACUUACUAACGUGAAACUCCCACUAUCAUUUUUCAUGUUCACUCGGUGCUAGGAUCUAGCUCUCUUCUUAAUAUAUAUAGUUAAGCCUUUAAUACUCUAAUUCAUAAAGAAAGCUUUAGGAGCUUGCUCCUUCAUACAUCAUAUAGCUCAAAGAAUUCUAAGAUAAAAAUGUCCUUUCUUCAUAGCACCUACAUUAUAUGAGAAUGCCUUUUCACAUAUUCAUACAGUCAUACAUCAUGUGUGCACAUACCGUGUGAGAUCUACCUUGACAUAACAUCUCUAAUCACACAUGUUCAUAACUUCAUUUAUAUUAUACUUAGAUGCAUAAAAAUACGUAAUGAUGCAUAGGAUUUGUUUAAUCAUCAUGAAUCUACCCUAUCCAUAGUCAUGCAUAAAGUGUCUGUGUACAUUGGUCAACAUGAUCAUAUAAUGGCUAUAACAUAACCAUAAGGAAGAUACCCUCUUAAGAUAACCACACAUGUACAACAUUCCUCAAGUCUCAAGUCAUACACACAUAUAGAGUAUUAAGCACUAUAGACUACACACACUCAGAUUACAUUAUAGGAGUCAAGAACAUAUUCAACAUUAGAAUAGAAAACUCCUAGCAUACUUUGAUCACAUAUUGAUAUAGGGUUCGUAUAGGUAGGGGUAAUGCUAUAAGAGUACUCAUCAACAUUAGCAAUCUUAGACCAUACCUAACCCAUGAUCAUCACAUAUAUGCAAAGCAUCAUCCGGAAACCUACAUCAUGCAACUAGUUUGGGAGGCUACUCAUACACUUCACAUAAAACAUGAUAUUAGAAUCAAGUCUAAAUACUUCAAAUUCCUAAACAUGAAAAUUAUCAUAUAAAUUAAUCUUUCAUCUAAUACUUUCAAGGCCAUGACCUUAUCCCAUAAACAUGUAAAAGAAUGUAAAUACCGCCACCAUAAAUGGAUCAUACCAAUCAACACAAUUCAAUGUGUGUUCUAAGCUAAUUAGAUUAAAUAGUUCAACUUACAAAGUAUAAAAGCUAUGAUAAUCAUUGAUUAUUCUUCCAUAAUUCAUAGUCAAUUUAUAUAGAUAGUAAUAGAAAUAACCAAUACAAUACAAUCUAAUCACAAUUCUAUAAACAUGAAAUCAAGAUCACAAGACCCACAUUAUAGGCCAAUUUGAGAAUUAGGAGGAUCAUGGUUCUUCAUAAAAUUUAAUAUAAAUUCAUCAAAAAUCAGUUUCUAAUCAUAAACUCAUCAUUAGAAUGCUUUUGAAAUAACUUUGAGAAUGAACCAAUGGGUAGAUUGAAAAUUGGGAAUAUUGGUCUUUGAAUCACUUUUGAAAUUCAUUGAUUUAACUCCUUAGAUGAAUGGAUAACUAAGGAUGAAGGAUAACCAUACCUUAUUAUUGGAAGACCCAUGAAGAAUUGGAGAAUAAACCAUAGAAAUCCAGCCCCUAGUUUGAUCUUUAGUUUUGGUCUCCCAUGGACGUUUUGGGAGAAUCUGGAAGAGAUAAGAAUUUUGGAGUUUUGUUUUUCUA